GCGCGCAGGGGCUGCUGGUACCGUGUGUGCGGGUGGGCCCCGGUAAGGAGCUCCAGCCAUGGCGGCGGUGUGAGGAGAGGAGGAGGUGUGGAGCCCGUGUGAGGCCGGAGGGGAAGUGCUGCACCAUGCUGACUGCCCCAGCAGAUAGCUCUGGUGACUACAAAAAGCAGCAGAUGGAACUGAGCCAGAGCCAUAGCAGCUCUGGUUUGCACUACUCAGAAGAUACCUUUGAGUCCUUCAGUGAGGACGAGGAAGCCCACUGGCAGAGAGAAAGUGACCCACCUGAAUCAUAUUGUUCCACAGAGGAUUUGGAGGGCUCUGCUGUGUCAGAUGAGCAGCCUGAAGUAGCAGAUUCUGCAGCUGCAGAAAGAGAUCUCGUGGGACGCUGGAUUGGUCUAAUAACUAAAAAAUCUGACAUUAAGCAAGAUGGAUCAGUCAUCAAAACUCAUGCUGAAAUGAGUGAACUCUCAGGUGAAGAACUGGAUGCUCUCAGGUCCUUUUGCACUAAGAAGAUAAGUGGGAUGCAUCAGCAGCUGAUCUCCAAGCAGACAAAUAGUGACAAGUCAAGAAAGCUGCAGCUGGGAUUGACAGCAAAGAAACCAGACACAAAUGACUUGAGCUGCAUUGUUCCUGAUGGGCUGAUGAACAGAAUCCGCCUGAAAAACAUCGGUGAGACUGUUAAACAGGUGACAGAAACUCGGAUCCACGAUCCCUCGGUGUGCCCUGACUGUCAGGAGAAGGAGGCAGAGCUAGCCAAGAUCACCUUCUGCAGAAGAAAGAAGGUUCUGAUGGAAAGUGCUUUAAUCCAAGAGAAACUGGAAGAACAGAUUUACUUAAGAGAUACGUUUACACUUCUAGGAGAAGCACUCAGAAGCUUACCCAAACCUUCAGAGGAUCCCAGGAACCUAAGGCAAAGGCUGAAAGGAUUCUGUGGAUCUUUGCACUGACAGCAGAAUGAUCUGUAUGGGAGGAAAGGGAGGGGGAGCAUAUACCUUCUGUCAGUAAGGUAAAGGAUGCAUCGAGUUUGGUGGCUGUCUGAAAUCCUCAGCUUCAUCAAAAUGAUGAAGGCCAGAAAUCAGACCUAAGCUAUUGCAGUUGUGUUGUUUUAAUAGGAAGCUGAUUGUAUGUAGCUGACCAUUAGGCUAUCUCAAACCUCCUUUGGCUUCCUGAUGACACUAAGACUGGUUGUUAAGACACAUAAACCAGCAGCAAGUGAGGAAAAGGUAUAAUACUGUUCUCAAGUGGACACAAAACCAUCUUUCCAAAGUAAGGACGACUGACCUCAAACUAUGAACCUGCUCCUUGUGAAGUAGCAUUACAAAAUCCUCUUUGAUCUCAGCAGCAGGAGAAUCUUUGGUUCCUAUCUUCGUGUGUGUCCUGUGCUCCUCCAGACUGCAUUUUCAAGCGCUGAAUUACUUCUGGCUUUUAUACCAUCUUAAAUAUAUAUUGGCUUUUUAAUAGAGUUUCAGGCUUGCUUGCUUUCUGCUUUCAGCUUGCUUGUAAAUGUCCCUGCUGCCUUUCAAAUUGUCUCUUCUAUUUUUAUUGCAUUACGGAAGAAUGCGCCUCCUGCCUCUAAAUUUGCAUCUUUUUGAUGUAGAAAACAUUUGUAUGAAAUGUAUCCAUCAUGUUGCAAACCUGCUAUGUAAAUGCUGCUUUUCUCCUCAUCCAGAGCUAGUGUAGCAAGACAUCUACUGAUACCCUUGCGCCCGAAAUUGCAGGUGAAAGCCACAGGGGGAGUGAGAGCAAAUGAAAGCAGGGACAAGGGGAGGGGGGAAGGAGGAAGGAAUGGGAGAAGGAAAGAAGGAAGGAAAGGCCUCAGAGAGCUUGUAGUGAGAUGCUUUAGCCUUGCUACUUAUUUUUCCCUGCAUCUUUGAUAGACUCGCAUGUAAGAGCAAAGGGCCAGAUUUUAGGAAUGUCUUAAGUACGUAAGUCCACCCUUGCCAUUUGGGUUUUGAAAAUGGCAAGGGUGAACUUACGUACGCCUUAAGAGUUGUUGCACAACUUAUGUCCAGCAUCUUUGGGUGCUUAAAAUACUUUUGGAAAUCAUAAGGUUUCAGGUCUACAAAGUGCUGAUGAGCUUCCAGCUGAGAGCCAGUUGGGAUUCCUGCUUCCCAGCAGGUUCUGGAGGUAUGGGCUAAAAUGGUAAAUGUUGGGUUGUUACAGAACAACUGUUCAGGUAUGUUUGCAGUGUCGUGGGGUUUGUAGGUGUUAAACACUAUGGGCUUAUCUGAGAAGUCCUAAAAUCGAACCACCUCUUUAUGCCUCUAUUUUCUGUAUUGUUGAUCUCAGAACAGAAAAUGUGCUCUGUUUUUACACAUAGUCAUCCUUAGAAAUAUGUCUUGUAUAAACCCUUUGUGGUUGCACCCAGUGAUAUAAGUGACAACGUAGAUAAAGAUUUAAGCAAGUUGAUUAAUCUUUUAAUUCAGUGUAUAAAGUUCUAGUCCUGAUCUCUCAGAAUGCUGAAUGCUGUUUUUAUGCCAGUGAGCAAGAAAACUCUGCUUUUAGCAGUUGUUCAACUUAUUCUGUCUUCACUA
Pezoporus flaviventris is the source of this 2534-nucleotide RNA transcript. It is a transcript of the gene named chromosome unknown C8orf48 homolog, with no coding region annotated. Lineage: Eukaryota; Metazoa; Chordata; Aves; Psittaciformes; Psittacidae. The record is from RefSeq and is a predicted model, not a curated record. The transcript has 8 exons.